This 252-nucleotide ribosomal RNA is filed under the name uncultured bacterium. RNAcentral's name for it is "partial 16S ribosomal RNA". It matches the Rfam family "Bacterial small subunit ribosomal RNA", at positions 524 to 776 of the family's 1533-position model. The record is from RNAcentral.
UACGUAGGGGGCGAGCGUUAUCCGGAAUCAUUGGGCGUAAAGGGUGCGUAGGCGGCUGCCCAAGCAGGGGGUAUAAGGCCAUGGCUCAACCAUGGACCGCCCCCUGAACUGGGCGGCUUGAGUGCAGGAGAGGAAAGCGGAAUUCCUAGUGUAGCGGUGAAAUGCGUAGAUAUUAGGAGGAACACCAGUGGCGAAGGCGGCUUUCUGGACUGCAACUGACGCUGAGGCACGAAAGCGUGGGGAGCAAACAGG